AUUGAACGCUGGCGGCAUGCCUUACACAUGCAAGUCGAACGGCAGCACGGGUGCUUGCACCUGGUGGCGAGUGGCGAACGGGUGAGUAAUACAUCGGAACAUGUCCUGUAGUGGGGGAUAGCCCGGCGAAAGCCGGAUUAAUACCGCAUACGAUCUACGGAUGAAAGCGGGGGACCUUCGGGCCUCGCGCUAUAGGGUUGGCCGAUGGCUGAGUAGCUAGGUGGUGGGGUAAAGGCCUACCGAGGCGACGAUCAGUAGCUGGUCUGAGAGGACGACCAGCCACACUGGGACUGAGACACGGCCCAGACUCCUACGGGAGGCAGCAGUGGGGAAUUUUGGACAAUGGGCGAAAGCCUGAUCCAGCAAUGCCGCGUGUGUGAAGAAGGCCUUCGGGUUGUAAAGCACUUUUGUCCGGAAAGAAAUCCUUGGCCCUAAUACGGUCGGGGGAUGACGGUACCGGAAGAAUAAGCACCGGCUAACUACGUG
Molecule: ribosomal RNA, 486 nt
Filed under: uncultured bacterium
Lineage: Bacteria
Description: partial 16S ribosomal RNA
Rfam family: Bacterial small subunit ribosomal RNA
Source: RNAcentral